AAAGAGAAGCUUUGAAAAUUCAAACAGACCUUCAAAAUUCACUACGUUAAAGUCAAACAUAUAAAUAGACCUUUCAAGAAUCAAAACAAAAUUCUCAAAAAUUCCUUUCUCCUCCAGAUCCAACACCCACUUCUGUACUUCCUGGAGUCUCAAUUUUUUUAUUUUUUUCACUCAUCUCCAUUUUAUUUGCAGUAAGCCAGUAACAAUCACCUCUUUGCCUACUUAUUCUAGUGAUUUUAGUGGGUUUGUGUUUUUGUAGGUGUGCUUCAUGCUUCUUAAUGGGUUCUUUUUUGUUUUUAGGCUUGAGCAAAAAAAUCAAAAAAUUGAUUAAACCAAUCAAUCCGAACCGGUUUGGGUUGGUGCAACACAGGUAAUUGAUUUGGUUUGGUUUUCUUCUAAAUUUAGUCAUGGUUUGAAAUCUUGAAUCGUUUGUUAAUCAAACCAUCCCAGCACUUAUGUGUUUACCUUGCUUUUUUUUUUCUUUUUUUUUUAUAAGAAUAAUAAAAAUUAAAAUAUAAACUCUAAUUUCAUAAAUAUGAGUGAAUUACCCAAAUAAUCAUUGAAUUUUGCAAAAAGUUUUCAUGGGGUCACUGAACUUUAAAAAUUAUCAAAUUCAUUACUGAACUUUGCAAAAGGUUCAAAGGGGAUCACUGAACUUUAAAAAUCAUCAUAUUCAUCACUGAACUUUGUAAAAGGUUUUUCAGUGGUCACUAAAUUUAGUGACCAUUGGAAAAUCUUGUGUAAAAUUCAGUGAUGAAUUAUGUGAUUUUUAAAGUUCGGUAACCUCAUGGAAUCCUUCUGCAAAAAUUCAGUGAUGAAUUGAAUGAUUUUUAAAGUUGGGUGACCCCGUGAAAACCUUUUACAAAGUUCAGUGACCAUUUGGGUAAUUCACUCAAUAAAUAUGCAUUAAUUCCCUCCAAUUUAUGAUGUUAUUGGUAAGUAAUAGCACUGGAAAUGUUCUUUCACAAGCUUAUUAUGUUAUACUUACCAUUUUUUCCAUAUCCAGCCGAUUAUAUUACAUAAUACAUAAAAAAGCAAUAAAAUUUUUAAGUUUUCUGCUGAUCCAUCUCUAUUAAUAUGAUUUUAUUUGUUAAUCAAUAGUUUUUAUAAUAUAAAAUUAUUUGGUUAUUUUAGUUUUUGUAAUUUAAGUGCGUCUAAAACUCGGACAAUUUCUUUUAAAAAAUUUAAUUUGGACUAAAGAGCUAGAGUGGAUUGGUUUGGUUGAAAAUUUGGCCAAACCGACUAAUUUGGUUUUGAUUUUGGGUUGAAGUCGAAAUUGACCUAAACCAAACCACGUCCACACCUAUUUUUUUAAAUUGACAAUUUGGUUAGGUAAGUUCUGCAAUUACACAAGACAUCAUUUAUUCGUAAUUUCUUUGCAAUUUUCUUUGCAAUUAGAAAGUCAUUGAUUUGGUGGUGUAUUUGACUAAAAAUUAACAAAUUGUAAUUUACACCAUUUCUUUUUUUAAGAUGUUAUUGGGGAUGUAUGAUUACUGAGAACACAUAUUGAAAAGAUAUUCGCUGUGUAUUUGUUUAUUUUAAAUAUUUUAUUUAGUUUUUUUUUCAAAUUCGAUGAUUAUUUAAUUAUGUUAUUAUUAACUAUUUCACUUUUAAAUACUUGUGAUAUUGUAAAACUCAUAACACUGUAUCUAAAUUUCUAAAUUAUUUGGUUAGAUAUAGAUUUUCUCUAGCUGCCUUGAUAAAUUUUUCUCUCUCUCUCUUUUUUUUUUUUUGUUUUUUUGUUAUUAACUCUCUUGGUAAAUCGAAAAUAUUUCUAUACAAUGUAAGGCUAAAUCGUUAAUUUUUAAAAUUAUUUUUGUGAUCACUCCAUUUAAACAAAACAGAUAUUUCAAUUUAAGUAGUGCUAACUGCUACGUUGUCAAUUGGUGCUCAUCAAUGGUCUAUGUGACAAUUAGAUUCUAUACUUUACUAUCCAAUGAAGUUAUGAUAUAUUUUCAUUUUUUGGACUAUGACGCGAUGUCAUCUAGACUUGUAAUAGGGACCUGCAAAUAACAUCAUUUUUCCUUUUUUUUUUCCUUAUAUGUUCUGAAACUCUUUUACUUCCUCUAUACCAAUUAUUCAUUAUUGAAUGAGAAUUACAGAUUUUGUCAAAUUUUCAAUUAGUAUCUCCUUGUAUUGUUGCAUUCUUUCCCAAUUUUCUCAUUUCAAUCUCGAUUUUAUGACUUCUCAGAUAUGCACAAUGGUUAACAAAGCUGGCAUUGAAGCGGAGAAAAAAGAUGAUGCUUGGAAUGUUAUACAAGUUGAAGAUUGACCUCCACAUUCUCCUAAGAGACAAAAAUUGACAUCCAAGGUAUGGAAUCAUUUUGUAAAAUUUAAAGGGCCAAAAGGAAAUGAGGUUGCAUAGUGCAAGCAUUAUCGUAAAGAAUUUGUGGGAGAGAGUGGUAAAGGAACUAGCUACGAAAAGAAUCACUUGAAAAGAUGUGAUGGGAAAGAUAGUAGGGACAUUGGUCAACAAAUGCUAUCUAUUUCCAAAACUUCCUCAAAGGCUGCUGUCAUAGUUAAAAAUCAUAAGUUUAACCAAUGGAAAAUAAUGAUGGAUUUUGCUAAGAUCAUGCAUAAUUAUCCUUUCAAUAUGGCUGAACAUGAAUAUUUUGAGAUCUUUUAUAAUGGUUUGCAACCAAUGUUUAAGCAUGUGUCAAGAAAUACAGUGAGAUCUGAUGUACUUGAAGUUUACAAAAGUGAGAAAAGAAGAAGUUAUACAACCACUUGGAGAAACUUCCAGGUAGAAUCACUCUAACUAUUGAUCUUUGGACAUCUCAUCAUCAAGAUAUUGGUUAUAUAUGCUUGAUAUCUCGUUUUAUUAAUAAUGAUUAGGAAUUGAAAAAAAAAAAAUUGGUUAUAGAUGUAUUGAAUAUCCUCAUGAUGCAGAAACAAUUUUAAGAUACAUCACUGACAUGAUUUUGGAUUGGAAUUUGGAGAAAAAAUUGUUCGCCAUGGUGUUGACAAUGCUAUCAUCAAUGAUGCGAUGGUAAGAAGCUUGAAAAGAUAGCUUUGUGACAAGUCUGCAAUACAUUUGUAAGGUAAGAUAUUUCAUGUGAAUUGUAGUGCUCAUAUUGCAAGAUGGGUUAAAAGUAAUUGGAGAGUUUAUUCGUAAGGUUAGAGAAACUGUGAAGUAUUUGAAAAUAUUUCCAUAUGCAACACAGAAAUUUACUCAUGCAAAAAAUCAACUUAAGUUGAAAGAUAAGAAGAAAGUGAAGAUGGAUUCUUCUACUAGGUGCAUUCUAAACUUUAUCCAAGUGAUGAAGAAUGGAAAAUUCAUAAAGUUCUAUGUGAUUGCUUAAGAAUAUUUUAUGAUGCAACAACUCAUUUUUCUGAUUCUCAUUUUCCCACAUCAAAUGUAUUUUUUCUUGAUGUUUGUAAUAUUCAACUACAUUUAUCUAAGUGGCAAAGUAGUGAGCAUAGCUUUUUGUGUAUGAUGGCUGGCCUAAUGAAACUGAAGUUCGUUAAAUUUUGGGAGUGUUGUUUGGUAUUAGCAAUUGCUGUUGUUGUUUAUACAAGAUUUAAAAUGGAUUUAGUUGAAUAUUAUUAUGAUAAGCUCAAUGGUGUUGAUGCUCAUACAUAUGUUAAAGAGCUCGUAAGGCAAUAUUUUACCCUUUCAAUGAGUAUGAUGAUACUUCAUCUCAAUCUCAAGUGAAAGUGAAAGUAAGUCAAGAACUCGGUUCUAAUAGUGAUCAAGGAAUGGGGGCUUCUCUAGAUGACCAGUUGAGUGGGUUUGAUUCUUGGUCAACACAAUCUUGAUCUUUUAAUUUGUCAUGUUCUUCUAAAAAGUCAGAGUUAGAGAAGUCUUGGAUGACUCAUUAUUUCCAAAAACUGAAAAUUUUAAAGUUUUGAAUUGGUGAAAGUUUAAUAGUGCUAAAUUCCCUACCCUUGGAAAAAGUUACUCUUGACAUGAGUUGUUCCAGCAACAACUGUUGCAUAUGAGGCUGCAUUUAGUGUGGGAGGAAGAGCAAUUGAUGAUUUUCGUGCUUCAUUGCUUUUGAAAACUGUGGAGUCUUUGGUGAUUGACUUCCCUCUUUGAAAAAAAAAAAAAAAAAAAAAGUAUGAUGAUUAUUGAGUUUGAUUAUUAUUAUUAUUAUUAUUAUUUUGAGUAGCUAUAUAUUAUUAUUUAAUCCUCACAAGUACUUAAUUUGUCAUGUUCUUGUAGAACUUAACAUGAAUACAAGGCCCCCACAAAACCAAAAAUAAUGUUUCUUAAAGAUUGAAGCUCAUGUAAAUUUUACUUAUAAAUCUAUGUUUUUAACGUCUUGAAAUGAUAUUUUUUCUGUACGCCCUUUAUUCUUUAACAUCUUUUUUUGUAUGUGUAGUGGAAUGGUGGGUGAUAUGAUAUGGAGAAAGGGUCAAAACUUUUGAACUUGUGCUCUUUUUUUUUUCUUUUUUUUUUUAAUGCUUUCUCCAAAACAUUUGUUGGAUAUGUAUUCAG
This 4441-nucleotide long non-coding RNA is filed under the name Olea europaea subsp. europaea. Lineage: Eukaryota; Viridiplantae; Streptophyta; Magnoliopsida; Lamiales; Oleaceae. The record is from RNAcentral.